CUUCCAAACGGCAGUGGUAUACCACAAGGUUUCUCUGAGUCUAGAAGAAGCUUAUACAAAGAAAAUCCAUUAGACACACAGUCAGAUUCAGCAACUCUUUUCUGGAGAAGAAGAAGAAGAUGGUACUCAUAAUACCUGUGUUGAUCUUAUGGAUGCAACACAUAAGAUCCCAAGUGGACGGACAGCAGAUAAACCAAAUUCCUAAAUUCUCGCUCCUACAAGAAGGAGAGAACUUCACCACAUACUGCAAUUCCUCAAGCACUUUAUACAGCUUUCAGUGGUAUAAGCAGAGGCCUGGGGGGAGUCCCGUCUUCUUGAUGUUGUUGACUAAGCCAGGAGAAGUGAAGAAGCCGAACAGAUUGACAGCUCGGUUUGGAGACACUGGAAAGGACAGCUCCCUGCACAUCACGGCCGCCCAGUCUGCAGAUGCAGGAACCUACUUCUGCGCGGAGGCACAGUGCUCUGGGAGCAUCUGCUGCCUGUCCCCAAACCUCACUGUGGGCCCCAGGUGCAGCUCCUCCUCAUCUCUCCUCAGAGCAGGAGCCAGAGGAAGCUGAAGUCACAAUGUCUAUGAAGAAACUGAACUUUUAAAUUAAAAAAUCCACAGGCUCAGGUAGCGUUAUUAGAGGAUUUUACCAAACAUUUGAACAAAACUUAGCAUAAAUUCUACACAAUUUCUUCUAGAAAAUAGAAAGAAAACAAUUCCUCAUUCAUUUUAUGAAGCUAGUAUUACCCUGAUAGCAAAUCACACAAAGACAAUGCCAAAGAAAACUCCAGAGAAAUAUUCCUCAUUAAUAUAGACACAAAGUUGGUUAACAAGUUUGAUAAAUAUUAACAAGUAGAACUCAUCAGCAUAUAAGAGAAUAAUUCAUUAAGCACAAAUGGAUU
Sus scrofa (pig) is the source of this 888-nucleotide non-coding RNA. Lineage: Eukaryota; Metazoa; Chordata; Mammalia; Artiodactyla; Suidae. The record is from the annotation of a RefSeq genome assembly.